Molecule: long non-coding RNA, 594 nt
Organism: Oncorhynchus keta (chum salmon)
Lineage: Eukaryota; Metazoa; Chordata; Actinopteri; Salmoniformes; Salmonidae
Exons: 3
Source: RefSeq, a predicted model, not a curated record
UCUCACCCCAGUCGAAGGUCCUGUAGGUCCUGUAUGUCUCACCCCAGUCAAAGGUCCUCUAUGUCUCACCCCAGUCAAAGGUCCUCUAUGUCUCACCCCAGUCAAAGGUCAUGUAUGUCUCACCCCAGUCAAAGGUCCUCUAUGUCUCACCCCAGUCAAAGGUCCUCUAUGUCUCACCCCAGUCAAAGGUCCUCUAUGUCUCACCCCAGUCAAAGGUCCUCUAUGUCUCACCCCAGUCAAAGGUCCUCUAUGUCUCACCCCAGUCAAAGGUCCUCUAUGUCUCACCCCAGUCAAAGGUCCUCUAUGUCUCACCCCAGUCAAAGGUCCUCUAUGUCUCACCCCAGUCAAAGGUCCUCUAUGUCUCACCCCAGUCAAAGGUCCUCUAUGUCUCACCCCAGUCAAAGGUCCUCUAUGUCUCACCCCAGUCAAAGGUCCUCUAUGUCUCACCCCAGUCAAAGGUCCUCUAUGUCUCACCCCAGUCAAAGGUCCUCUAUGUCUCACCCCAGUCAAAGGUCCUCUAUGUCUCACCCCAGUCAAAGGUCCUCUAUGUCUCACCCCAGUCAAAGGUCCUCUAUGUCUCACCCCAGUCAAAGG